UGGCACGGCGUCGUUUGGAAAGUGCACUUCCUUGUUCUGACCUUGCCUUUUAUGGGCUGGAGCGAUAUGAUACGUGAUAUGCCACGGCGAAGUUGUCGAAGAUGCGACGGUGCUACGCUGUUAGAACAAUUCAUCGGAGCAUUCAAGUGUUACCUAUUAUAAGCUGCCAAAAGACCAAGCAGUGCGAAGCUCUUGGCUGACAGUGGUGCCUGCUAAUUUCCACUGCAAGGAUUUCGUCCACGAAUGUUAUCAUAGGUUACGCGCGACUCCAGAGGCAAUUUGGAAUCUCGGCACGAAAUCGUCUGAUGAAAAUCUGAGGUGCCCGACGCACAACAUUUUGAACGUGCCACGGAGGAUCAAGGCAAAAAACGAGAGCAAAAAAGGUAAGUCGAGGUUCAGAUAUAAAAAAUAGCAAGCUUAAUGAAUCGAUUGUGCAGCUGUCCUACUGCGCUUACUCUGAUAUAACCACGAUUAACAACACAAUAGUAUUGAUAAUCUAACUUCUGAAUUAUCACAGGUGCACGCUGAAGGCGGAAAUGAAGCAUGAUCUGGCUUGCAUCUGGUGCAUGAAGAAAUUGCUGACACGUUAGUUGCAGUCUACCUCCACCAACAGGGUGGAAAACAAAGGUCGCCAUUCCGAUUAGCUGCUAUCUCCCAGUUCAAGCACUUUUGCUGUCUGGACACUGGUUCCUGUGGAUGGGGUGUUACAAGCUUCACUGUCUGAUAUAGAAGUGAUGAGCAUCCAUAAGGACACAUGCCAGAAAGGGAGUCUCUUUG
Ornithodoros turicata is the source of this 777-nucleotide long non-coding RNA. RefSeq lists it as uncharacterized. The transcript is spliced from 3 exons. The record is from RefSeq and is a predicted model, not a curated record. Lineage: Eukaryota; Metazoa; Arthropoda; Arachnida; Ixodida; Argasidae.